RNAcentral lists this ribosomal RNA (291 nucleotides) under Escherichia coli. Its description in RNAcentral is "partial 16S ribosomal RNA". It matches the Rfam family "Bacterial small subunit ribosomal RNA", at positions 865 to 1157 of the family's 1533-position model. Lineage: Bacteria; Pseudomonadati; Pseudomonadota; Gammaproteobacteria; Enterobacterales; Enterobacteriaceae. The record is from RNAcentral.
UCGACCGCCUGGGGAGUACGGCCGCAAGGUUAAAACUCAAAUGAAUUGACGGGGGCCCGCACAAGCGGUGGAGCAUGUGGUUUAAUUCGAUGCAACGCGAAGAACCUUACCUGGUCUUGACAUCCACAGAACUUUCCAGAGAUGGAUUGGUGCCUUCGGGAACUGUGAGACAGGUGCUGCAUGGCUGUCGUCAGCUCGUGUUGUGAAAUGUUGGGUUAAGUCCCGCAACGAGCGCAACCCUUAUCCUUUGUUGCCAGCGGUCGGCCGGGAACUCAAAGGAGACUGCCAGUG